This 73-nucleotide transfer RNA is filed under the name Phrynosoma platyrhinos (Desert horned lizard). Its description in RNAcentral is "tRNA-OTHER". Lineage: Eukaryota; Metazoa; Chordata; Lepidosauria; Squamata; Phrynosomatidae. The record is from RNAcentral.
GCCAGAGUGGUGAAGUGGUAUAAGUGUUGGACUUAUGACUCUGGAGACCAGGGUUCGAUUCCCAGCUCUGCCA